UAGAGUUUGAUCCUGGCUCAGGAUGAACGCUGGCGGCGUGCUUAACACAUGCAAGUCGAACGAAGCGCUACCGACGGAACUUUUCGGAGGGAAGAUGGUAAUGACUGAGUGGCGGACGGGUGAGUAACGCGUGGGUAACCUGCCUCACAGAGGGGGACAACAGCCGGAAACGGCUGCUAAUACCGCAUAACAAGGGAUUGCCGCAUGACGAUCCUUUCAAAGAUUUAUCGCUGUGAGAUGGACCCGCGUCUGAUUAGCUUGUUGGUGGGGUAACGGCCUACCAAGUCAACGAUCAGUAGCCGGACUGAGAGGUUGAACGGCCACAUUGGGACUGAGAUACGGCCCAGACUCCUACGGGAGGCAGCAGUCGGGAAUAUUGCGCAAUGGAGGAAACUCUGACGCAGUGACGCCGCGUAUAGGAAGAAGGUCUUCGGAUUGUAAACUAUUGUCGUUAGGGAAGAAAAAGGACAGUACCUAAGGAGGAAGCUCCGGCUAACUACGUGCCAGCAGCCGCGGUAAUACGUAGGGAGCAAGCGUUAUCCGGAUUUAUUGGGUGUAAAGGGUGCGUAGACGGGAUAAUAAGUUAGUUGUGAAAUCCCUCGGCUCAACUGAGGAACUGCAACUAAAACUGUUAUUCUUGAGUGUUGGAGAGGAAAGCGGAAUUCCUAGUGUAGCGGUGAAAUGCGUAGAUAUUAGGAGGAACACCAGUGGCGAAGGCGGCUUUCUGGACAAUAACUGACGUUGAGGCACGAAAGUGUGGGGAGCAAACAGGAUUAGAUACCCUGGUAGUCCACACCGUAAACGAUGAAUACUAGGUGUAGGUUAUGUCAUGUAAUCUGUGCCGUCGCAAACGCAAUAAGUAUUCCACCUGGGGAGUACGGCCGCAAGGUUGAAACUCAAAGGAAUUGACGGGGGCCCGCACAAGCAGUGGAGUAUGUGGUUUAAUUCGAAGCAACGCGAAGAACCUUACCAGGGCUUGACAUAUAAGUGAAUAUAUUAGAGAUAAUAUAGUCCUUCGGGACACUUAUACAGGUGGUGCAUGGUUGUCGUCAGCUCGUGUCGUGAGAUGUUGGGUCAAGUCCCGCAACGAGCGCAACCCCUGCUUUUAGUUGCCAGCACGUAAUGGUGGGAACUCUAGAAGGACUGCCGGUGAUAAAUCGGAGGAAGGUGGGGACGACGUCAAAUCAUCAUGCCCUUUAUGUCCUGGGCUACACACGUACUACAAUGGCUGUAACAGAGGGAAGCAAGAUAGUGAUAUUAAGCAAAACCCAAAAAGCAGUCUCAGUUCGGAUUGAAGGCUGAAAUUCGCCUUCAUGAAGCCGGAAUUGCUAGUAAUGGCAGGUCAGCAUACUGCCGUGAAUACGUUCCCGGGCCUUGUACACACCGCCCGUCACACCAUGAGAGUUGGGGAUACCCGAAGCCUGUGAGCUAACAGUAAUGAAGCAGCAGUCGAAGGUAGAAUCAAUGAUUGGGGUGAAGUCGUAACAAGGUAACCGUAA
RNAcentral lists this ribosomal RNA (1499 nucleotides) under uncultured bacterium. RNAcentral's name for it is "bacterial SSU rRNA". It matches the Rfam family "Bacterial small subunit ribosomal RNA". The record is from RNAcentral.